This 23-nucleotide non-coding RNA is filed under the name Arabidopsis thaliana (thale cress). Lineage: Eukaryota; Viridiplantae; Streptophyta; Magnoliopsida; Brassicales; Brassicaceae. The record is from RNAcentral.
CCAUCGACAUGAUCCACUUCCCG